Molecule: non-coding RNA, 98 nt
Organism: Acanthosepion pharaonis
Lineage: Eukaryota; Metazoa; Mollusca; Cephalopoda; Sepiida; Sepiidae
Source: the annotation of a GenBank genome assembly
AUUGAAACACUGGUUUUCAUAUGAUCACCAAAGUUAAGUGACGUCAAGCCUGGUCAGUACUUAGAUGGGUGACUGCUUGGGAAUACCAGGUAUUGUAA